AGUACAUAAAAUCUAAGCAAACAAACAAAGCCCUCCUCCAAAAAAAAGAAAGAAAAGAAUUAUUAACACCAGGGAAAACAAAAAGUUGUGCUGGAAAGAAAAGGUCUCCCUCACAAAUAUUGAGCCUAUUGGUCAACAAGGGCUCCGGGCCCACCACCAGAUGCGUGGCAGGAGACACAGAAGUGACAUUCAAGAAAUAGUUCCUUAUUAACCAAGUUCUGGAUACUGGGAAGUCCAAGGUUGAGAGACGGUAUCUGGUGAGAGCCUUCUUGCUGGUGCUGCCAUGUCAUAAGGACACUCAACCCUGUGAAGAGUCCCACAUAGAGGAGGAACUGAGGCCUCCCACCAACAACCAACACCAACUUGCCAGCCAUUUGAGUACACCAUCUUGGAAGAGGACCCUCCAGCCCCAAUAAAGCCUUAAGAUGACUGAAGACUGGCUAACAUCUAUUUAAAAAUUAUUAUUUAUUUUUUUAAUAGAGAUGGGGUCUCGCUAUGUUGCCCAAGCUGGUCUCAAACUCCUAGGCUUGACCAAUCCUCCUGCCUCAGCCUCCCAAAGUGCUGGGACUAGAGGCAUGAGCCUCCAUGCCCAGCCCUGACUAACAUCUUGACUUCACCACAAGAGACCCCAAGCCUGAACACUGUUAAUGUGAUCCCAAAUCUCUGAAGUACAAAAAUUGUUAGAGAUAAUAAAUGUUGAUUGAUGUUUUAAGCCAAUAAAUUUGGGGAUAAUUUGUUACACUGCAAUAGAUUAGUAGUUCAGAAGGCUUCUUCUGCCAGUGUGACAAAUCCAAAUGCUUUCUUUGGGCACUCGAGGUUGUCCAAUAACUGCUCUUACUUUAUCUUUGGGUACAGAAACACCAUCUGAGCCAGUUAUUUCACUGACCUCACACGACAUGUGAAACUCUGCCUCUACUUUAGCCCAUGCCAUUGUCACACAGAAUGUCCUUUUUGGUCCU
Long non-coding RNA from Gorilla gorilla gorilla (western lowland gorilla), 959 nucleotides. RefSeq lists it as uncharacterized. The record is from RefSeq and is a predicted model, not a curated record. Lineage: Eukaryota; Metazoa; Chordata; Mammalia; Primates; Hominidae. The transcript is spliced from 4 exons.